AAACUUUCAACAACGGAUCUCUUGGUUCUGGCAUCGAUGAAGAACGCAGCGAAAUGCGAUAAGUAGUGUGAAUUGCAGAAUUCAGUGAAUCAUCGAAUUUUUGAACGCACAUUGCGCCCCUCGGUAUCCCGGGGGGCAUACCUAUUCGAGCGUCAUUUC
This 159-nucleotide ribosomal RNA is filed under the name fungal sp. RNAcentral describes it as "5.8S rRNA". It matches the Rfam family "5.8S ribosomal RNA". Rfam says of the family: 5.8S ribosomal RNA (5.8S rRNA) is a component of the large subunit of the eukaryotic ribosome. It is transcribed by RNA polymerase I as part of the 45S precursor that also contains 18S and 28S rRNA. Lineage: Eukaryota; Fungi. The record is from RNAcentral.